UGGUCGAACCACCUUGUCGGACUGCGC
Molecule: small RNA, 27 nt
Filed under: Bombyx mori (domestic silkworm)
Lineage: Eukaryota; Metazoa; Arthropoda; Insecta; Lepidoptera; Bombycidae
Description: ovarian small RNA-8835
Source: RNAcentral